Molecule: non-coding RNA, 1271 nt
Organism: Phoenix dactylifera (date palm)
Lineage: Eukaryota; Viridiplantae; Streptophyta; Magnoliopsida; Arecales; Arecaceae
Source: RefSeq, a predicted model, not a curated record
CGCAGAAGGCGCUCUCCGCCGUGCACACGUGCGCCCCCACCAGCCCCCGGGCCUCCACGGUCCCCGCCGCCUCCGCCGCCAGCACCAGAUCCAGGUGGAUGGGGGAUAGCAGCCUGAGAUGGCCACCAGCUUUUCGCCGCCGGACGUCGGAGUUGGGAUGGUGGAGAAUGCGGGCCUGAUUCGGCCGGUCUCUAAGAGUGAGGUGAUGGGGGCUCUUUGAGCCUUAGCAGAGGACAAAGGCCCGAGUCUAGAUGGUUUCCUCCUUUUUUUUAAGGAGGUAUUGGUGCAUCACUUAGAGGAUAGUAAUAGAGGCAGUGCAACCAUUUUUCAGCACGGUGUCGAUGGCAUAUUCCUGGAAGGCAACCUACGUCGCUCUUAUUCCGAAGCGCUAGGAUGCGAUGGAGCUUAGCCAUUUUGGGUCGAUCAGUUUUUGCACUACUCUUUACAAAAUAGUGGCAAAGAUUAUGGUGGACGGGAUGAAGUUGUUGCUGUUGAGCUCAUCAGCCAGGAGCAGGAGGCGUUUGUGGGGAGUCGCCGUAUUAACAACGUCCUAAUUGCCUAUGAGGUGAUGUGAGAUCUACAGCGUGCCCCGAGGCGACAGAGCUACAUGGCAGUAAAGCUGGAUAUGGAGAGAGCCUCCAAUAGAGUCUACUGAGACUUCCUCAGGUUUGUGCUGGAGAGCUUUGGCCUCCACGAGAUUUGGAUUGGUUGAGUUCUUGGCUGUGUAUAGAGGUCGUCCUUCUCCAUCAUGAUCAAAGGGACGUCAUCGUCGUUCUUCCAUUCCACCAUUGAGCUACGUCAAGAUGACUGUCUUCUUCUAGUCAGGAUGAAGACAAAGGAUGAAUGCUUACGGGUAAAUCUUUGGUGUCCGACAAAUCUUCCAUCUCUUGUUUGCAAAAGAUCAUCAGGUCAGGGAGCAAACCUUUUUUAAGUCUAUAAUCUAUUUCAGUCCAAAGAUGUAGUUGCCAAUGAAGUAUGCUAUUAAGGGGCUCGGAGUUAGAGAUGCCGUGGAGUUAUAUGGGUGUCCCAUCGCUGAAAAGAGACUGCAAUGUGUCGGAGCCAAAAUAAAAAAAGGCAGCACCACUUGAAAUUAAACUUCCCGGACACCGCAAACCCGAGUCAUAUCAUCCAGGAGUCAUCAUGUGAAUGGGAAAUGGGAAUUUAUGCCAUUGUUUAGGUCGCUAGACGGUCACAUUUGAUUUGUUUUGAUGAGCUUGUACUUGCAUCAUGGAUCCUAUUAUUAUGACUCGGAACAAACAAUAAGGUUCCAA